UUGUAAUUUGUAGAGGGUUCUUUGGGGCCGUCUCUUAUCUAUGUUCCUUGGAACAGGACGUCAUAGAGGGUGAGAAUCCCGUAUGAUGAGAGUCGCGGUUCUUUGUAAAGUUCCUUCGAAGAGUCGAGUUGUUUGGGAAUGCAGCUCUAAGUGGGUGGUAAAUUCCAUCUAAAGCUAAAUAUUGGCGAGAGACCGAUAGCGAACAAGUACAGUGAUGGAAAGAUGAAAAGAACUUUGAAAAGAGAGUGAAAAAGUACGUGAAAUUGUUGAAAGGGAAGGGCAUUUGAUCAGACAUGGUGUUUUGCGCCCUCCGUUCCUUGUGGAUGGGGGACUCUCGCAGCUCACUGGGCCAGCAUCAGUUUUGGCGGUAGGAUAAAUCCAUUGGAAUGUGGCUCGCUUCGGUGAGUGUUAUAGCCUUUGGGAAUACUGCCAGCCGGGACUGAGGACUGCGACAUUCGUCAAGGAUGCUGGCAUAAUGGUUAUAUGCCGCCCGUCUUGAAACACGGACCACCA
RNAcentral lists this ribosomal RNA (513 nucleotides) under Jamesozyma gamospora. RNAcentral describes it as "Kazachstania gamospora partial 26S ribosomal RNA". It matches the Rfam family "Eukaryotic large subunit ribosomal RNA", at positions 143 to 671 of the family's 3401-position model. Lineage: Eukaryota; Fungi; Ascomycota; Saccharomycetes; Saccharomycetales; Saccharomycetaceae. The record is from RNAcentral.